CAGUCGCCGCGGUAAUACGAAGGGUGCAAGCGUUAAUCGGAAUUACUGGGCGUAAAGCGUGCGCAGGCGGUUUGUUAAGACAGAUGUGAAAUCCCCGGGCUCAACCUGGGAACUGCAUUUGUGACUGGCAAGCUAGAGUGUGGCAGAGGGGGGUGGAAUUCCGCGUGUAGCAGUGAAAUGCGUAGAUAUGCGGAGGAACACCGAUGGCGAAGGCAGCCCCCUGGGCCAACACUGACGCUCAUGCACGAAAGCGUGGGGAGCAAACAGGAUUAGAUACCCCAGUAGUCCCUGUCUCUUAUAC
This 301-nucleotide ribosomal RNA is filed under the name uncultured bacterium. Its description in RNAcentral is "partial 16S ribosomal RNA". It matches the Rfam family "Bacterial small subunit ribosomal RNA", at positions 509 to 807 of the family's 1533-position model. The record is from RNAcentral.